Molecule: ribosomal RNA, 533 nt
Filed under: Encyonema cespitosum
Lineage: Eukaryota; Bacillariophyta; Bacillariophyceae; Cymbellales; Encyonemataceae
Description: eukaryotic LSU rRNA
Rfam family: Eukaryotic large subunit ribosomal RNA
Source: RNAcentral
UUACUAAGCGGAGGAAAAGAAACUAACAAAGAUUCCCUCAGUAAGGGCGACUGAAGGGGGAAUAGUUCAAUUUGUGAAUCAAUGUCCUGACAUUGAAUUGUGGUCUACAGUAUCGAACAUCAAUGACCGGAUCAAGUCCCUUGGAAUAGGGCGGCCGAGAGGGUGAGACCCCCGUUCAUCUGGUCAAUGAAGUGAGAUUCUAUGAGUCGAGUUGUUUGGGAUUGCAGCUCAAAGUGGGUGGUAAAUUCCAUCUAAAACUAAAUAUUGGUGGGAGACCGAUAGCAAACAAGUACCGUGAGGGAAAGAUGCAAAGAACUUUGAAAAGAGAGUUAAAGAGUACCUGAAAUUGCUGAAAGGGAAGCGAAGGAAACUAGUGUCGACCUCGUCAUAUUUUUCUGUCUGCUUGCGGAUAGAACGCUGUGGCGGGUAGGGUCAGUAUUGGUUGGGUAACAUGUAAAUGUGUCAAGGGAGUUGACCUUGAUCUAUGACCUGUUGUCCUACUGAUUGCUGACAAAAUGGUUUUCUUCUCCCUG